Vulpes vulpes (red fox) is the source of this 1162-nucleotide long non-coding RNA. The record is from Ensembl. NCBI's taxonomy places the organism in Eukaryota, Metazoa, Chordata, Mammalia, Carnivora, Canidae.
UUUUUUUUGUUUUUGUUUUUUUUUUUUUUUUUUUUGCUUUUAAAAAUUUAUCUACCAGAGUAACCAUUCCAAUCCAGCGAGAGGAAGAUCGUGAAGCCGUUCCAUCACCGCACCGUGUUCCCUCAGGACCCUGGGCUGUCAAUACUCCCGAAGGCAACCGUUAGCUCGACUUUGUCAUUAUUUCGGCUUGUUCUUGAACUUCACAUAAAUGAGCUUUCCUGUACGCUUCUAUUCCACUCUUCAACGGCCUCUGGAUAUUCUAUAAUGUAUAUACCAGUUUCAUUAAAUAUUCCCUAACUGAACACUUAUUUCCAAUAUACAUAUUAUAUACAAAUAUUCCAAUAUUAUAUAUAUAUAUAUUAAGAAUAUCGCAAGGGGUGUGCUUGUGUGCGAGAAAUUUCCAUCGGAGGGAGACACGGUGGGCCGAGGGCUCCCCCGCUUCGGGCCUAGCGGAACCUCCGAUCGCGCGGUCCCGCCGCACGUGGUCUCUGAGACCUCCCAUCACGGUACCCUCGGGACCCGGACCGCAAGAGCUGUCGGCCCCAGUUUCCCUCCCGGAAGUGGCGCGGGGGUGACUCUCGCCGUUUCCGCCGCCGAGGGGGCGGGGCUGGGGCUGGGGCUGCCCUGCCUUUGCGGUCGCGGUCGCGGUCGCGGGCUGAUGACGCAGGGCGCCGCGUGCUCCCCCCACGUGUGCUGCGGUUCUCCCGGCGUCUGCGGGGCUGCCGCUUCGGCUCUCCCCGGGGGCGUAGUUGCUGGCGCUUGCCGCGCGCGACCUCCGCGGCUCGGGGGGUGCUCCGAGCGCUACGUAGGGAGCGCUGGGGGCCGCCGGGGGCAGCAGGGCCUGCGGACAUGGAGCACCUUUUCCUGGAGGUGGCGGCUGCCCCGCUGCGCUUACUCGCUGCCAAGAACGAGAAGAGCCGUAGCGAACUGGGCAGGUUCUUGGCCAAACAGUCACAGAGAGAGAGAGACAGAGGCAGAGACACAGGCAGAGGGAGAAGCAGGCUCCAUGCACCGGGAGCCCGACGUGGGAUUCGAUCCGGGGUCUCCAGGAUCGCGCCCUGGGCCAAAGGCAGGCGCUAAAUCGCUGCACCACCCAGGGAUCCCAUCUGAGAUUGUAUUUGAAAUAGUAUUGGAUCCGAAAGCUACUAGAAAGUUCAGUUGA